UACGGAGGGUGCAAGUGUUAUUCGGAAUCACUGGGCGUAAAGAGCACGUAGGCGGAUAGGCAAGUCAGGUGUGAAAGCCCGGAGCUCAACUCCGGAAUUGCAUUUGAUACUGCUUGUCUUGAGUGAGGUAGAGGGGGGUGGAAUUCCCGGUGUAGAGGUGAAAUUCGUAGAUAUCGGGAGGAACACCAGAGGCGAAGGCGACCCCCUGGGCCUCUACUGACGCUGAGGUGCGAAAGCGUGGGGAGCAAACAGGAUUAGAAACCCGAGUAGUCC
RNAcentral lists this ribosomal RNA (273 nucleotides) under uncultured prokaryote. RNAcentral's name for it is "partial 16S ribosomal RNA". It matches the Rfam family "Bacterial small subunit ribosomal RNA", at positions 524 to 796 of the family's 1533-position model. The record is from RNAcentral.